UUUCAUCACUUCCGCCUUCUGCGUAUCUUUCACGGCGGCUUCUGCGUGGGUCCAUCUCGACUGGUUUGGAUUUAUCGAGAAGUUAUUUGAUAAACUCGAUCAGUUAAUACAAUUAAUUUAAAUAAGUCAGGAUGAAGAUAUCUCGUGGAUGUUACGUCGCGCUGGUGCUCGCGCUCGUCACCGCAGUUUCAGGAGCUCGUGUGAUUCCCCGGCCUGGAUGAACUUAACAACGCCAGAUAACCUCCCAUCACUACCACUCCGUCCCUACCUGCUAGUUAAAAAGCAUAAUUUUGCACUUGCUUUAUAAAGUCAUUUAUAACAACACAAAUAAUAAUUUUAAACAAAACAAGCACCUGAAAUAAUAAGAAGCACAAAAGUGUUGAUGUGAAGGCUGAAGUGGGAGAUGAAGUUAGUUUUAAACCUGACAUUGGAUCUCUUAAAGACAGCAGCAUCACAUGGAAAUAUACGACUCGUGGUGAUGUGAUAAAGGUGAUUGAAUGGGACAAUGACUUUAAGACUUUAGAAAAGCUGAAUCCUAAAUUCAAGACUCGUGUAGCUCUCGAUAGGACCACUGGAGAACUCACUAUAAAAGAUUUACAGCUGGGGCAUACUGGACUUUAUACCAUUGAGAUCAACAAUAAAGAGCUAUACAAAAGAUUCACAUUGACUGUUAAGGAGGGCGUCCCCAAACCACAAUUAAAACAAGAGGAAACAAGUGAUAAUAAUGUAAGGUAUUUGACAUGCGAGUAUAACGCAAUGAUCCGCUGGGCUUGUUCUGAUGGUGAAAAACCACAAAUCACAAAGCUAGCAAAGCCAAGACAAGGAGAGUUUAUUACAUUCAGAAGAAGCGAAAACCAAGACGUCUGCUGCACCUGUACACUUAAAAAUGAUGUGAGUGAGAAAACCAGUGAUCCGGUCUGUGUGAAUGAUCUCUUUUAUGAUUUAAGCAUUACAUUCAUCUGUUGGAUUGUAAUCAUUGGAGUUCUAUCAGUCUGUCUUUUUAUUGUAAUUACUGUCAUCCUUUGCCGGCGCAUCUUCUUUAAAACAUGGUUGAUUUUACCCAAGGAUGCCAGUCGUCGCUCUCGCUCUUCUAAGGGAUUUUCUAAAAAACUGACCUUUGUGCAGUACAAAUGACUGACGCCGGAUCUUCUCAUGGGACUCCCAGCUUUACUAUUGCAACUGGACCUCCUAACCUCAACAUCUGUAGCUUGAUGACAUUAAGAUUUAUUAACAGAUUUUAUUAAAACGGAUUCUGUGAUUCAAUACUAAUACUGAUAAAACUGAUAAACCUUGACAACUGCACAUACUUUACACUACACUAAUGUUUUACAGAUGAGUCUAAGCUAAGGGUUCUGUUCUGCCGGAGAUUGUAUGAAUUCAUAAGUCAAUUCAUAAGUACUCAUGAGUAAAGUAAUGACACAAAAACUAGUUUCUGUCGGCCAAGAUUCAACAAGGAAUUUUGACCAGGGACUGAAAAGCUCCAAGGCCGAUCAAGGAAACUUGAGUCUUUUUAUAAAGAUUUAUAAACAUUCCUAAAGAAUGUAUGGACUUAAUAAAAUAAUGAUAAUACAUUUAAUGUAAACAAUAAUUAAGUAACGUGUUGUUGAAGACACUGACAUUUGUUUUUAUAUGUAAAACAAUAGUGCAAAUGAUGUAACCCAUAAAUGAAGGAAUUCCUGUAGGUCAACAACAAAUGUAUAUCUAAAAGAUAGGAGUUGUCUUUAAUUGUUCAAUGAGAAAGCAACAGUUUGGGUAUCAACCUGAUGUUAAAUUAAAAGGAUAUGAAAGUGGAAUUCAUGUUGUGGGCAAACCAUAAUAAAUAAAAAUAUUUUUACCAUUA
Molecule: non-coding RNA, 1840 nt
Organism: Paramisgurnus dabryanus
Lineage: Eukaryota; Metazoa; Chordata; Actinopteri; Cypriniformes; Cobitidae
Source: RefSeq, a predicted model, not a curated record